This 72-nucleotide transfer RNA is filed under the name Ovis aries (sheep). It matches the Rfam family "tRNA". From Rfam's summary of the family: Transfer RNA (tRNA) molecules are approximately 80 nucleotides in length. Their secondary structure includes four short double-helical elements and three loops (D, anti-codon, and T loops). The record is from Rfam by way of RNAcentral. Lineage: Eukaryota; Metazoa; Chordata; Mammalia; Artiodactyla; Bovidae.
UCCUUGGUAGCUCAGCUGGUAAAGAAUCUGCCUGCAGUGCAGAAGACCUGGGUUCGAUCCCUGGGUUGGGAA